This is a long non-coding RNA of Phasianus colchicus (ring-necked pheasant), 772 nucleotides long. RefSeq lists it as uncharacterized. NCBI's taxonomy places the organism in Eukaryota, Metazoa, Chordata, Aves, Galliformes, Phasianidae. The record is from RefSeq and is a predicted model, not a curated record.
UAGCGUGGUUGGAAGCAAACUGCUUUAGCCUUCUCUGACAGUAAAGCUUUGAUACACCUGAAAGAAGAUUGUAUCCAAAGAGAUAGCAGAGAGAAUAAAUUCUCUUCAGCAACCCGUCAGAUUUACAGUGUGGUGGCACAGCUUCAUCAGUUGAAGAUAAAAGCAAGCUAUUUUGUUCACUGAGGAUUUAUAUACAAAGUACUUGAUGAAAAGAUUCAUUUCCUGCUUGAGAGGCCCAGCAAACAUGAAGAAAUUUAUAGAAUUAGAGAUUGCAGCAAUUGGGCUCCUACUCUCUCAGCCUCAGUACUUUUAUCCUGGAGGAAAUAAGUCAGGUGUUUGUACUUGACUUUAAAACACAGAUGCUGAAGAGUUGCAGCACAGAUGCUGAACCAUAUGUUUGAGAGAGAUGGAGAGAUAUGUCCUGGGCUUCUGUGUGUAUGUUCUGUUCAGAAGAUUUUGAGAGUUCAGAAUAUCAUCAGGGAACCUGCAUGACCAGUAGGUCUGCUGCUUCUUAGUGAGAGCUCGUAACAAGAGGAGGGGAGAGCUUGUGUGGCUGAACGAACGGGUGGAGGUCAUGAUUCUCUAUAAAGAAGAGAGCUUGGUGAGAGGGGAAGCAGGAAAAUUCUGACCAGCUUGAAACACUGACAAAACUGAGGCUGACUUGGAGGCAAUGCCAAAUCCGUGGAGUGAGGAAGUCCCAGUACUGGUGUUACUUUACAGAAGUCUGUGACUCUGCAGCACUUAAUAAAGCAACUGGUUGAGAAAUUCCUUU